CCAAAAAUCUAGCCUACACAAACCUACCACUAUGCACAAACCAAUAAAAUAUUUUAACGCCCUAGUAAAGACGAUUGAAAAACCUGCAAGAGCUAUAGACAUUGUACCGCAAGGGAAAGAUGAAAUAAAUUAAAUACUUAAGCACAAUAUAGUAGAGAUUUCCCCUCGUACCUUUUGCAUCAUGAUUUAACUAGUUUAUUCAAGCACAAAGACUUAAAGUUUGAACCCCCGAAACUGAGUGAGCUACUUCAUAGCAGCUUUAUGAGCGAACCUAUCUCUGUUGCAAAAGAGUAGGAAGACUAUCAAGUAGAAGUGACAAACCUAACGAACUCGGUGAUAGCUGGUUUCUCGGGAAAAGAAUCUUAGUUCAGCCUAAAGACAAUACAAUAUCCACAUACAAAUAUCACUUUAACUUUAGAGUAAUUCAAACAAGGUACAGCCUGUUUGAAAAAGGACACAACCUUAAACUGCGGGUAAUAAUCACCAUUAAUAUCAAGUAGGCCUAAAAGCAGCCAUCUUAGCAAAAUGCGUCAAAGCUUCAUAUAUUCUAACACGCAAACCCUCAUAGACCCCCCCCCCACCACUGAGAACUUCUAUGCCAACAUAGAAAAUUUUAUGUUAAAACUAGUAACAAGAAAAAAUUCUCUACCAAUAGAAAUGUGAGCCAAAAUGGACCUCCCGCCGGCACUUACUCAGCCAUGAAAAAUAAUAGCAACUUAUCAAGAAAACUCUAUUUUUAGUACUGUUAACCUUACACAAGACUAUUUCAAGAAAGAUUAAAAUGGAAAGAAGGAACUCGGCAAAUGGAGAUCCCGCCUGUUUACCAAAAACAUCGCCUCUUGCCCCCCCCCAUAAGAGGUCUAGCCUGCCCAGUGACUAAAAUUCAACGGCCGCGGUAUCCUGACCGCGCGAAGGUAGCGUAAUCACUUGUUUUUUAAAUAAAGACUAGUAUGAACGGCAUCACGAAGAUCAAACUGUCUCCUCUCCACAAUCAGUGAAACUAAUCUCCCCGUGAAAAAGCAGGGAUUAACCUACAAGACGAAAAGACCCUAUGGAGCUUUAAACACAUAACUAUUGCCCCUAGCACUAUAGUUAUAGUUUUAGGUUGGGGUGACCACGGAGAAAAACCUAUCCUCCAUGACGAAUAAGUUUACUUUAAACAAAAAAUCACAACUUUAUGCAUCAACAAAUUGACCUACUGACCCAAUAAUUUGAUCAGCGAACCAAGUUACCCUAGGGAUAACAGCGCAAUCCACUUUGAGAGUUCAUAUCGACAAGUGGGCUUACGACCUCGAUGUUGGAUCAGGGUACCCCAGUGGUGCAGCCGCUACUAAAGGU
Molecule: ribosomal RNA, 1338 nt
Filed under: Brachycephalus brunneus
Lineage: Eukaryota; Metazoa; Chordata; Amphibia; Anura; Brachycephalidae
Description: partial large subunit ribosomal RNA
Rfam family: Bacterial large subunit ribosomal RNA
Source: RNAcentral